Molecule: transfer RNA, 74 nt
Filed under: Limihaloglobus sulfuriphilus
Lineage: Bacteria; Pseudomonadati; Planctomycetota; Phycisphaerae; Sedimentisphaerales; Sedimentisphaeraceae
Description: Phycisphaerae bacterium SM-Chi-D1 tRNA
Rfam family: tRNA
About the family: Transfer RNA (tRNA) molecules are approximately 80 nucleotides in length. Their secondary structure includes four short double-helical elements and three loops (D, anti-codon, and T loops).
Source: Rfam by way of RNAcentral
GCGCCUGUAGCUCAACUGGAUAGAGCAUUGGUCUACGGAACCAAAGGUUGAGGGUUCGAAUCCUUCCGGGCGCG